UACGAGGGGGGCGAGCGUUGUUCGGAAUUACUGGGCGUAAAGGGUCCGUAGGCGGUGUAGCAAGUCGAUAGUGAAAUCUCUGGGCUUAACCCAGAGGCUGCUAACGAAACUGCUGUGCUAGAGUGUGAGAGAGGCGAGUGGAAUUACGGGUGUAGCGGUGAAAUGCGUAGAUAUCCGUAGGAACAUCCGAGGCGAAGGCGGCUCGCUGGAUCACAACUGACGCUGAGGGACGAAAGCUAGGGGAGCAAACAGG
This 253-nucleotide ribosomal RNA is filed under the name uncultured bacterium. RNAcentral describes it as "partial 16S ribosomal RNA". It matches the Rfam family "Bacterial small subunit ribosomal RNA", at positions 524 to 776 of the family's 1533-position model. The record is from RNAcentral.